Molecule: ribosomal RNA, 1110 nt
Filed under: Salmonella enterica
Lineage: Bacteria; Pseudomonadati; Pseudomonadota; Gammaproteobacteria; Enterobacterales; Enterobacteriaceae
Description: bacterial SSU rRNA
Rfam family: Bacterial small subunit ribosomal RNA
Source: RNAcentral
AAAUUGAAGAGUUUGAUCAUGGCUCAGAUUGAACGCUGGCGGCAGGCCUAACACAUGCAAGUCGAACGGUAGCACAGAGAGCUUGCUCUCGGGUGACGAGUGGCGGACGGGUGAGUAAUGUCUGGGAAACUGCCUGAUGGAGGGGGAUAACUACUGGAAACGGUGGCUAAUACCGCAUAACGUCGCAAGACCAAAGAGGGGGACCUUCGGGCCUCUUGCCAUCAGAUGUGCCCAGAUGGGAUUAGCUAGUUGGUGAGGUAACGGCUCACCAAGGCGACGAUCCCUAGCUGGUCUGAGAGGAUGACCAGCCACACUGGAACUGAGACACGGUCCAGACUCCUACGGGAGGCAGCAGUGGGGAAUAUUGCACAAUGGGCGCAAGCCUGAUGCAGCCAUGCCGCGUGUAUGAAGAAGGCCUUCGGGUUGUAAAGUACUUUCAGCGGGGAGGAAGGUGUUGUGGUUAAUAACCACAGCAAUUGACGUUACCCGCAGAAGAAGCACCGGCUAACUCCGUGCCAGCAGCCGCGGUAAUACGGAGGGUGCAAGCGUUAAUCGGAAUUACUGGGCGUAAAGCGCACGCAGGCGGUCUGUCAAGUCGGAUGUGAAAUCCCCGGGCUCAACCUGGGAACUGCAUUCGAAACUGGCAGGCUUGAGUCUUGUAGAGGGGGGUAGAAUUCCAGGUGUAGCGGUGAAAUGCGUAGAGAUCUGGAGGAAUACCGGUGGCGAAGGCGGCCCCCUGGACAAAGACUGACGCUCAGGUGCGAAAGCGUGGGGAGCAAACAGGAUUAGAUACCCUGGUAGUCCACGCCGUAAACGAUGUCUACUUGGAGGUUGUGCCCUUGAGGCGUGGCUUCCGGAGCUAACGCGUUAAGUAGACCGCCUGGGGAGUACGGCCGCAAGGUUAAAACUCAAAUGAAUUGACGGGGGCCCGCACAAGCGGUGGAGCAUGUGGUUUAAUUCGAUGCAACGCGAAGAACCUUACCUGGUCUUGACAUCCACAGAACUUUCCAGAGAUGGAUUGGUGCCUUCGGGAACUGUGAGACAGGUGCUGCAUGGCUGUCGUCAGCUCGUGUUGUGAAAUGUUGGGUUAAGUCCCGCAACGAGCGCAAC